RNAcentral lists this transfer RNA (62 nucleotides) under uncultured Porphyromonas sp. It matches the Rfam family "tRNA", at positions 7 to 62 of the family's 71-position model. Rfam says of the family: Transfer RNA (tRNA) molecules are approximately 80 nucleotides in length. Their secondary structure includes four short double-helical elements and three loops (D, anti-codon, and T loops). The record is from RNAcentral. Lineage: Bacteria; Pseudomonadati; Bacteroidota; Bacteroidia; Bacteroidales; Porphyromonadaceae. RNAcentral also lists the same sequence under 1 other name.
CUGAUAGCUCAGUUGGAUAGAGCAACAGCCUUCUAAGCUGUGGGUCUUGGGUUCGAAUCCCA